UCUGCGUUAGGGAUGGAAGCGGCAUCCUUUUGAGAAGCGUAGCGGAACAAAAGAUACAGCGGACAGCCUGGCGCCGG
RNAcentral lists this unclassified non-coding RNA (77 nucleotides) under Flavobacterium noncentrifugens. Its description in RNAcentral is "Flavo-1 RNA". The record is from RNAcentral. Lineage: Bacteria; Pseudomonadati; Bacteroidota; Flavobacteriia; Flavobacteriales; Flavobacteriaceae.